Long non-coding RNA from Pieris brassicae (large cabbage white), 341 nucleotides. RefSeq lists it as uncharacterized. The transcript is spliced from 2 exons. The record is from RefSeq and is a predicted model, not a curated record. Lineage: Eukaryota; Metazoa; Arthropoda; Insecta; Lepidoptera; Pieridae.
UUUACCAACAGCGAUAGGAAAAGACUUAACAAGUUAGAUUAAGAGUGAAUAGAGGAGGAUAUAGACCAAUUAAAAAACAAACAUUGUAGUCCAUAUAGAGCAAGUUAUGACAUCCAAGAACCAUCAACUAGCAAAGGUAUUUUGUAGGACUUGGACGUGAAAAAGUUCAGUGAACUUACACCUCAAAAGCAAACGCUGUCUAAGAGAUGCAGAAAAAAUCUAUCUGAAAUAGUGAGGCUCUGAAAAAAGUUUCAAGGUGAUAAAAACUCCAAAAGAUCUAUAUUAAGUGUACUAACAUCAAACGAACCUAGCAAUGAAAUAUUAAAAAGCACAUUAAAUAA